CGCAGCCUCCACCUGUCAGGUAAGGUAGGAGAAGGUAUGUUAUCUGACACCUCUCUCCCUGCCUCCCUCCAUUUAGCAGGAAGUGGUGGGGUCAGGGGUCUUCAGUAUAGGCUUCUUGAGCCUCUGCCCCCUGUCACCCUUCUCUUGGAAUGAUGUGUACCCACAUCUUUGGAUCCUGCCGUCCUUGUGGUUCCAGGCUGUUGGGAGGAGGUCAGCCUCCCCUGAGCCAGCUGCCUGAGGCAUGCAGCAUCCUUCCUCGGCAAAGCCCACCUGGCCCACAGUGGCCCUCUCUCCCCAUCCUGUUCUUCUUCUUGCCCUGUAAUGUGCUCCCCCCAUAUGUUUUCUCUCUCACCUGAGGCUUUGCUGGUCCUCAGAUUGGUUUUGUAUUUGUGAGACAACCACUUGAUUCCUGGGCUGCCAGGCAGAAGCACAAGCGCACACGGAUGCACACGGAUGUUCUCACACACACACACGCCCGCUCUCACCAAUUCACAGCGCCCUCGCAGUCCGGCGGAGCUGCCCAGGAGCUUGGUGAGGAUGGCUCCAAAGGACACAAGCCGUUGAGGAGAUGCCAGAGAAUUCUGAAUGGAAAACACAAGUCCGGGGCCUCACCAGCAUCGUGGCAGAAGGCCUGGGGCAUUUCUCCAUGGGCCUUCUGCCCUGUGUUCCCGCUCUGACUUUUGGAAAAGGACAUUGUGGAUUUUAUGAAAAUUUUCAUAUCAUUAGUCUAGCACCAACCUAGAAAAAUUUGAUGAUAUAUCAAACCCAACAUCCCUUUCCCAAGGCACCUUCGUUGAGGCUAGCCCUUCCAUAACUGACAUUGUACGGUGCUUUGCAAUCCUUGACCACACUGUGGGGCAACGAGCAUGAUGCCCACUUUAUAGACAGGGAAAUUGACAUUUGGGGCUCACAUGGCAAGAUAGAGGCAAAGUAAAUUCUCAGAUCUCCAGGCCCCAUUCUCUCUCCACCGAGUUGUGCUCCUGCACAGGAGUGUAUGUCUUUAGACACUCCCCCACCCCCAUUCCCUAGAAAUCCCCCAGACUCACAAUAAGGCAAGAAAGAACAGGGACCCAGAGGCUGGCCUGACCUAGGGGCCUGGAGGUUGGUGGCUUUGUUUCCUAUGAACAUUGAAACCUGCAGAGUCUUUGACCAAAUCAACAACAGCACUUCUGAGGUUUCAUCCAGACUGUUUCCCAGCGGUCCCUGAGGCUCAGAAGGUAUCAGAGCCAAUUCAAGGCCACACCAUAAUCCCUGACCAGGCCUGGACAUGGGUCCAGCCCUGACUGCAGGGGUCCAGGUGCCAGGGUCAUGUGCUGUCCCCUACUUCCCUUUCUUUGCCUUCCCACUUUGGAACAAGCUCCAGGCCUGGCUGUGACAGUAUGCAGGAGUGCCCAAGCCAGGGCCACCAGAAUGUCCACAGCCCCUGGAAACACAGAUCACAAUUUCAAGUCCCCUGAAUGAACUGCUUCCUGGGUGAAUUGGGUGGUGUAACCUUGCCACUCGGGCAGGGCACCAGACAGUAUGGUGCAGUGGUGCCUGAGAUGCCCAGAAGUGUGCCUGCCCCCCUGAGUGGCAUUCAAGUAUGAAAACGUGUAAAAUGUUCUGUCGGCCUAAAGAAAAAUGUCAAUGGGCCAAAUCUGACGCACUGGUCACCAGCCUGUGAGCCCCAAUGCCUGUCAAUUGCCCCCUUUCUUAUUCACCUCCUGUCCUUUGUUGCAGAUUUGGAGGAGAUGGGAGCCCAGAGAGGUGAGAGGUGUGCUUCAGGGUGUCCAGCAAGGCAGGGGCAGAAACGGGCACGCCCAGAGCCUGCCACUCUCCCACACCUCAUCUUGGGCUCUUGCAAACCUUGCGCUUUGAAGGUAGAAUUAGGUAGAAGGUCAGAGGCACUGGGGAUGGGACUGGGGAGCUGCUGAGUUUUCAGGGGAGGUCAGUGCUGCUUGGGCGCCUUUCACAUGUUCAGGGAAGAGACUCAGAUGUGGCCACAGGGCACGGAGGGGUGAAAUCCAUUCACCAGAAGUCACACCCCAGAACGACUGUCCAGCCUUGGCAGCCAGUGGCUCCAGCCACCCCCUCCUCAUGACAUUCAGCCAGAAUUGAGCUCCAAGCCAGGGAAGCAAAUCUUAAAAACCAACCAAGCACCCUGACACAGCCCUAGGAACACAAUGAGUCUGAGAUACAGCUUCCUGGGAGGGUGGAAACCAGCUUCUGCCCCUAGCCAGGCCAGGCCCAGGCAGGCAUGGGUGGAUCCCACAGGGCGCCAAGCUAGACCAGCUCCACGGUGGCCCCACUACGAGGCCAGUUCUGCAGGCUUGGCCUUGUCACCCAUUGAGAGGCUGCUCUGAUGGUUCCCAGCCACACACCAGCUCUCCUGGGGAAGCUAUUUCUUUCGUUCUUUUGGCCUCGGAGAGAUCCGAGGCAAGUACAUUUCUUAAAAGGUAAUAAAAUGCAUUAUUGGAAAGUUGGACAGUCAGGCCAUGACUCCUAGCCCAUAGCAUGCCCCACCUCCCAGCAGCCCCUUCAGUCCCUUGCCCCUGUUGUCCCCUGUUGCCCCAAACCUCAGGGUUCCCUCUUGCAUAUUCAUGGGGGAACCACAGUGCUGAUGUGUACUUCCCCACUGUCAGCUCUGCUGCACCUUGUGUGGCACCAGGUCCCGACGGGCCUCACAGAGGCCAGGCCGUGAGCCCCUUGCCUGCCUGCUCCCCUGAUGAGGCAACAGCUUCUCUGAAAUGAGCUGCCGCCCAGGAGCAGGCAGGCACCAGUCUGUCUUUCCUUUUCUGGUAAUUCCUCAGCACUGAGGCUCCAUUCUUGGGCACCCUAGGAUUGAAGGGGACCUCAGAAUCAUGUCACUGCCAUUCUAGAGUUUCAAUCCAAGGGGUCCCCUUUAGCUCAUCUCCAAGAUGGGUAAAUGCAGCCACCAUUCAGAAAGCCCAGAAAUUCUUCUUCCCACAUCUUAGACCCCUGAGCAACACAGGGAGAAAAUGCAUCUGCUUACCUGUUAAUAUCUACUGAUGGACAAUCAGCGAAGCCUCAAAGGAGUCGUCUCAGGUAGGGUACUUGGCCUGUGGCAGGAGAGACAGAGGCACAAACCCACCCACCCAUCAGCUUCGGGUGGCUGAUUGGGGCCCAGGGAGAGAAGCAGGUAAAACAGCAGGGUGGGGGUGACUUGGCAGUCGUGCACCCCUCCCCUACUCUGAGGCCUGUAGGAGGAAGUCACGCCAGGAGGAGGCCACACCAGCCUCACCUGCCUUGACCCCCACCCCCUGCCCUGCGACCCUGUGGCUAUGGCUGCUGGUCGCUCGUGUCCCCAAAAUCACCAUGCCUGUGGCCACAUCCCUCAUCUUCUCCAAAAACAUCAUUAAGAACAAGUGAUUUUGGAUGAUGGAUUUUUGAUUUACAAAUGGUGCAUUUCUCUUGGAGUGGAACAGAGAGGAAACCAUUUAAUGGCGCCCUUCUUUUCAAGCAUGAAUACAUUUUAAUGAAACUAUUUUAUUGUAUUUGAGGAAAUGGAGAGUUGAACAUUCCAACCAAUCAAUAGCCAAUUAAUUGCUAUAAAGCUAAAAAGAAAAUAAAUAAAUCCUGAGUCUAUUUUAAACACUGCAAAAAGUUCAAAGCCUCAGAAUCUGGCCUUCCCCCCUGUAAUGUGCACGAGCACGUAAAUACACACACACACACACACACACACACACACUCCCCUACACCUCAGACAUACUCGAAACUCAAACAGCACUGAGUCUCCCCGUGCCAAUUCUUGCCUGCUCUCCUCGACUUUGGUCAGAGAAGGUGAGCAGACCCGGCAGCAGCCUGUCCUGGGGCUCAGGAAGAGGCAGGCCCAUCCCCUGGCCCCCAAACCCCCAGCACAGCAGAGGGUGGCAGGCAGUGAGGGCCUGGUGUUACCUGGGCCCCACUUCUCAGCCCCAGCUACUGGGCCUCCAAGGUUGGGGUGAGGAUGGAGUUUUGGCUCUGGGUUUGCCCUGACUCCUGCUGGAAGACGCUGCCCUGGUUUUUCACCCUCUAGUGGCCUUGGACAUUGCGUAUUUGUAGAAAUACAGAUUACAUUGCAAAUGGAAACCUUUGCCAGGAAAACACAUGGAUUUUGCUUUUUAUUCUUUGAGACAUUUGACUUUGUCCUAGGGACUGACCUUUCAGCAUCAAAGAAAUACAUAUCUACUGUCUCCGCCAAAGUUUGUGAUGCCUGCAUAGACGCUUACUUGUAAAAAAAAAAAAAAAAAAAAAA
Macaca fascicularis (crab-eating macaque) is the source of this 4234-nucleotide long non-coding RNA. NCBI's taxonomy places the organism in Eukaryota, Metazoa, Chordata, Mammalia, Primates, Cercopithecidae. The record is from Ensembl.